CUCUAAUCUACUUUUUUUUUUCAGUCUGUGGUCUUGCAGCUCUUUGAUUGAAAUCUGAGUGAGAAAUCAUUCAGCCAUCGGAAUCACAUUUAGACAUUUCUGAUAAGUGACAGUACUUUAAGUGAUCAUAAUUAUUUACCUAAUUAUUAAUUAUAGACUACUUUUAAUUAUACCUAUUUAGUGUUAAGUAGCCUAAUUAAAUCUAGAUCUAAUCUAGUUCUAACUUACCUCUACUCUAAACAAUAGUAACUUUUUUUUUUACUAGACUCACAAUUUUAAAAACAAAUGGUUUUUUUUUUUUGUGUGAAAUAAACCUAGUAGGCGUAGUCUAUUUAUUUUAAAAUAAACCUUAUGCCUAGAUAUCUAUAUCUAAAUUUUCCAAAUGUAUUUUCAGAAGUUCGAAUGAGGAGAUGGAGAUGGCUGGGCCAUGUCCUACGCAUGAGCAAAAGAUGACUCCCCAACAUGGCACUGGAAAACGAAAGAGAGGAAGACCACUGGGAACAUGGAGGAGAUAGAUGGAAGAAGAAGUGCAAGCUGCUGGCAAGACCUGGCAUGAACUAAAGUGGCUCGCCCAAGACAGAGUGGAAUGGCAGGGAUUUGUUGCUGCCCUAUACUCCACAGGGAGUGAUGAGGAUUAAAGAAAGCAGACACAGAUCCAGUGUUGGAAGAGGAAGUAUUUUACAUAAAAGAAAAAAAAAACAACAGAUGUCAAAGCAGGUAUUGGCUGGUGCAGAAACAGCAUGAAAGGAUUUUUGUAUCUUUCCUGGACUGAUGACUUUCAUUCAACCUGAUCAUUUUUUUAUUUGCAUCAACUAAAACUUGUUAUAUAAAUCACUUUGUUGUACUCACACCUUAAACUUAAACCCAUUAUUACUUUUGUACUUUUCAUUGAUAAUUGAAAUUUAUAUAA
Long non-coding RNA from Physella acuta, 910 nucleotides. RefSeq lists it as uncharacterized. Lineage: Eukaryota; Metazoa; Mollusca; Gastropoda; Physidae. The record is from RefSeq and is a predicted model, not a curated record.